CCUACGGGAGGCUGCAGUGGGGAAUAUUGGACAAUGGGGGCGACCCUGAUCCAGCCAUGCCGCGUGUGUGAAGAAGGCCCUCGGGUUGUAAAGCACUUUCAGUGAGGAAGAACGCCUGGUGGUUAAUACCCAUCAGGAAAGACAUCACUCACAGAAGAAGCACCGGCUAACUCCGUGCCAGCAGCCGCGGUAAUACGGAGGGUGCGAGCGUUAAUCGGAAUUACUGGGCGUAAAGCGCGCGUAGGUGGCUUGAUAAGCCGGUUGUGAAAGCCCCGGGCUCAACCUGGGAACGGCAUCCGGAACUGUCAAGCUAGAGUGCAGGAGAGGAAGGUAGAAUUCCCGGUGUAGCGGUGAAAUGCGUAGAGAUCGGGAGGAAUACCAGUGGCGAAGGCGGCCUUCUGGACUGACACUGACACUGAGGUGCGAAAGCGUGGGUAGCAAACAGGAUUAGAUACCCUGGUAGUC
Molecule: ribosomal RNA, 465 nt
Filed under: Vreelandella stevensii
Lineage: Bacteria; Pseudomonadati; Pseudomonadota; Gammaproteobacteria; Oceanospirillales; Halomonadaceae
Description: partial 16S ribosomal RNA
Rfam family: Bacterial small subunit ribosomal RNA
Source: RNAcentral